GUAGACGGCCAUAGCACCCUUAACGCGCCCGAUCUCGUCUGAUCUUGCAAGCUAAAACUGUAAUCACUUUCCCUGAUAAAUUCCUUAAGUCUUUAUGUACAACAGGUUAAAAUCAGUCGUCCAGU
Molecule: ribosomal RNA, 125 nt
Filed under: Dasypus novemcinctus (nine-banded armadillo)
Lineage: Eukaryota; Metazoa; Chordata; Mammalia; Cingulata; Dasypodidae
Source: RNAcentral